Molecule: ribosomal RNA, 253 nt
Filed under: uncultured bacterium
Lineage: Bacteria
Description: partial 16S ribosomal RNA
Rfam family: Bacterial small subunit ribosomal RNA
Source: RNAcentral
UACGUAGGGCGCGAGCGUUGUCCGGAAUCAUUGGGCGUAAAGAGCUCGUAGGCGGCCUGUCGCGUCUGCUGUGAAAUCCCGGGGCUCAACCCCGGGCGUGCAGUGGAUACGGGCUGGCUGGAGGCAGGCAGGGGAGAACGGAAUUCCCGGUGUAGCGGUGAAAUGCGCAGAUAUCGGGAGGAACACCGGUGGCGAAGGCGGUUCUCUGGGCCUGUACUGACGCUGAGGAGCGAAAGCGUGGGGAGCAAACAGG